Molecule: long non-coding RNA, 359 nt
Filed under: Elaeis guineensis (African oil palm)
Lineage: Eukaryota; Viridiplantae; Streptophyta; Magnoliopsida; Arecales; Arecaceae
Description: long non-coding RNA (EGUI_LNC000761)
Source: RNAcentral
GGGGAGGGGGGGGGUGUCAAUUGUAGAUAUUUGCAAGUAAAUCAUAUCCAUGUGUACCAGGUCUGAAGAGGUAAGGAUUAGAUGUGAAAUGCGUUCUUUCUUAUCUAGCUGCAUCGGUACUUAACCGGAAGGGAGAAUGACAUCCAUCUAACUAUAGCUAGGAAUCUGGCCGAAACCACCGACAUCUAAUUUAAGCAGGAUCACUUAAUUGCAAUUAACCAUUGUAUGCCAAAGCAAAGGAGUUCCUCUUAUGGGAUCAAAUGUACUAUAAAAAAGAGAAGGUCUGAUGGGAAACUAGAUUAUAGGAAUGAAAAGAUCAAGCAAGAUGAAUAGACACAAGAAAUAUUUUACGCCAAUGG